AUCCUUACCUGGCAAGGGAUAAGCCAUGAUCACAAAGGUGGUUUUCUCAGGGCAAGGCAUAUUCCUUGCACACUGGAUGUGCGAGACCCUGAGAUUUCCCCAAAUGUGGGAGACUCAACUGUAUAACUUGUGGUAGCGGGGAGGGACUGUGUUCAUGCUGCCCCCUA
Small nuclear RNA from Phodopus roborovskii (desert hamster), 167 nucleotides. RefSeq annotates it as U1 spliceosomal RNA. The record is from RefSeq and is a predicted model, not a curated record. The transcript has a single exon. NCBI's taxonomy places the organism in Eukaryota, Metazoa, Chordata, Mammalia, Rodentia, Cricetidae.